GACGAACGCUGGCGGCGUGCUUAACACAUGCAAGUCGAACGGAAAGGCCUCUUUCGGGGGGUACUCGAGUGGCGAACGGGUGAGUAACACGUGAGUAACCUGCCCUUGACUUUGGGAUAACUUCAGGAAACUGGGGCUAAUACCGGAUAGGAGCUCCUGCUGCAUGGUGGGGGUUGGAAAGGUUCGGCGGUUGGGGAUGGACUCGCGGCUUAUCAGCUUGUUGGUGGGGUAGUGGCUUACCAAGGCUUUGACGGGUAGCCGACCUGAGAGGGUGACCGGCCACAUUGGGACUGAGAUACGGCCCAGACUCCUACGGGAGGCAGCAGUGGGGAAUAUUGCACAAUGGGUGGAAGCCUGAUGCAGCAACGCCGUGUGCGGGAUGACGGCCUUCGGGUUGUAAACCGCUUUCGCUCAUGACGAAGCUUUGUGUGACGGUAGUGGGUAAAGAAGCACCGGCUAACUACGUG
RNAcentral lists this ribosomal RNA (467 nucleotides) under uncultured bacterium. RNAcentral describes it as "partial 16S ribosomal RNA". It matches the Rfam family "Bacterial small subunit ribosomal RNA", at positions 28 to 507 of the family's 1533-position model. The record is from RNAcentral.